CAACUUUCGACCUCGGAUCUCUUGGCUCUCGGAUCAAUGAAGAAAACUGCGAAAUGCAAUGAGAAUUGUGAAUUGCAGAGUUCCAUGAAUCCUCUAAUCUUUGAUCGCACCCUGUGCUCCUUGGAAUACCAAGGAGGAUGCCUGGUUGAGUGACUUG
RNAcentral lists this ribosomal RNA (157 nucleotides) under Pyrrhoderma noxium. RNAcentral describes it as "5.8S ribosomal RNA". It matches the Rfam family "5.8S ribosomal RNA". From Rfam's summary of the family: 5.8S ribosomal RNA (5.8S rRNA) is a component of the large subunit of the eukaryotic ribosome. It is transcribed by RNA polymerase I as part of the 45S precursor that also contains 18S and 28S rRNA. The record is from RNAcentral. Lineage: Eukaryota; Fungi; Basidiomycota; Agaricomycetes; Hymenochaetales; Hymenochaetaceae.